This 2206-nucleotide ribosomal RNA is filed under the name Klebsiella pneumoniae. Its description in RNAcentral is "bacterial LSU rRNA". It matches the Rfam family "Bacterial large subunit ribosomal RNA", at positions 1 to 2236 of the family's 2925-position model. Lineage: Bacteria; Pseudomonadati; Pseudomonadota; Gammaproteobacteria; Enterobacterales; Enterobacteriaceae. The record is from RNAcentral.
UUAAGCGACUAAGCGUACACGGUGGAUGCCCUGGCAGUCAGAGGCGAUGAAGGACGUGCUAAUCUGCGAAAAGCGUCGGUAAGGUGAUAUGAACCGUUAUAACCGGCGAUGUCCGAAUGGGGAAACCCAGUGCAAUUCGUUGCACUAUCGUUAACUGAAUACAUAGGUUAACGAGGCGAACCGGGGGAACUGAAACAUCUAAGUACCCCGAGGAAAAGAAAUCAACCGAGAUUCCCCCAGUAGCGGCGAGCGAACGGGGAGCAGCCCAGAGUCUGAAUCAGCUUGUGUGUUAGUGGAACGGUCUGGAAAGUCCGACGGUACAGGGUGAUAGUCCCGUACACCAAAAUGCACAGGCUGUGAACUCGAAGAGUAGGGCGGGACACGUGGUAUCCUGUCUGAAUAUGGGGGGACCAUCCUCCAAGGCUAAAUACUCCUGACUGACCGAUAGUGAACCAGUACCGUGAGGGAAAGGCGAAAAGAACCCCGGCGAGGGGAGUGAAAAAGAACCUGAAACCGUGUACGUACAAGCAGUGGGAGCACCUUCGGGUGUGACUGCGUACCUUUUGUAUAAUGGGUCAGCGACUUAUAUUCUGUAGCAAGGUUAACCGUAUAGGGGAGCCGCAGGGAAACCGAGUCUUAACUGGGCGUUAAGUUGCAGGGUAUAGACCCGAAACCCGGUGAUCUAGCCAUGGGCAGGUUGAAGGUUGGGUAACACUAACUGGAGGACCGAACCGACUAAUGUUGAAAAAUUAGCGGAUGACUUGUGGCUGGGGGGGAAAGGCCAAUCAAACCGGGAGAUAGCUGGUUCUCCCCGAAAGCUAUUUAGGUAGCGCCUCGUGAACUCAUCUUCGGGGGUAGAGCACUGUUUCGGCUAGGGGGUCAUCCCGACUUACCAACCCGAUGCAAACUACGAAUACCGAAGAAUGUUAUCACGGGAGACACACGGCGGGUGCUAACGUCCGUCGUGAAGAGGGAAACAACCCAGACCGCCAGCUAAGGUCCCAAAGUCAUGGUUAAGUGGGAAACGAUGUGGGAAGGCACAGACAGCCAGGAUGUUGGCUUAGAAGCAGCCAUCAUUUAAAGAAAGCGUAAUAGCUCACUGGUCGAGUCGGCCUGCGCGGAAGAUGUAACGGGGCUAAACCAUGCACCGAAGCUGCGGCAGCGACACUAUGUGUUGUUGGGUAGGGGAGCGUUCUGUAAGCCUGCGAAGGUGUGCUGUGAGGCAUGCUGGAGGUAUCAGAAGUGCGAAUGCUGACAUAAGUAACGAUAAAGCGGGUGAAAAGCCCGCUCGCCGGAAGACCAAGGGUUCCUGUCCAACGUUAAUCGGGGCAGGGUGAGUCGACCCCUAAGGCGAGGCCGAAAGGCGUAGUCGAUGGGAAACAGGUUAAUAUUCCUGUACUUGGUGUUACUGCGAAGGGGGGACGGAGAAGGCUAUGUUAGCCGGGCGACGGUUGUCCCGGUUUAAGCAUGUAGGCUGAUUAUCCAGGCAAAUCCGGAUAACCAAGGCUGAGGUGUGAUGACGAGGCACUACGGUGCUGAAGUAACAAAUGCCCUGCUUCCAGGAAAAGCCUCUAAGCAUCAGGUAACAUCAAAUCGUACCCCAAACCGACACAGGUGGUCAGGUAGAGAAUACCAAGGCGCUUGAGAGAACUCGGGUGAAGGAACUAGGCAAAAUGGUGCCGUAACUUCGGGAGAAGGCACGCUGGUGUGUAGGUGAAGUCCCUGCGGAUGGAGCUGAGACCAGUCGAAGAUACCAGCUGGCUGCAACUGUUUAUUAAAAACACAGCACUGUGCAAACACGAAAGUGGACGUAUACGGUGUGACGCCUGCCCGGUGCCGGAAGGUUAAUUGAUGGGGUUAUCCGUAAGGAGAAGCUCUUGAUCGAAGCCCCGGUAAACGGCGGCCGUAACUAUAACGGUCCUAAGGUAGCGAAAUUCCUUGUCGGGUAAGUUCCGACCUGCACGAAUGGCGUAAUGAUGGCCAGGCUGUCUCCACCCGAGACUCAGUGAAAUUGAACUCGCUGUGAAGAUGCAGUGUACCCGCGGCAAGACGGAAAGACCCCGUGAACCUUUACUAUAGCUUGACACUGAACAUUGAGCCUUGAUGUGUAGGAUAGGUGGGAGGCUUUGAAGCGUGGACGCCAGUCUGCGUGGAGCCAACCUUGAAAUACCACCCUUUAAUGUUUGAUGUUCUAACGUUGGCCCCU